Molecule: long non-coding RNA, 301 nt
Organism: Dermochelys coriacea (leatherback sea turtle)
Lineage: Eukaryota; Metazoa; Chordata; Testudines; Dermochelyidae
Exons: 3
Source: RefSeq, a predicted model, not a curated record
AUGGAGUCCAACAGCAAGGUGUAAGGGAGGGCUUCUCUUAAUUCUCGAGAAAGUUCCACUAAAAUAUUGCCUUCAUAUGAGAAAGCCAAGGCUCUAAGAGGAGAAGUAACUUACCCAAUAUCUCACAGGAUGUCGGUUUCAGAGCUGAGAUCCCAAUGAGGUACCUUCUUAUCUGCUGGACCAUACUAAUUUAGGGAGUAUGCAGGUUAGGCUCAUGUUGGGAAGAAGCUCUAGGGACCUGGACGUUCUAGAUGAUGCAGAGCUUUUCAUGCAAGUCACCCAAGGUCAAAGCCAACAUGGG